AUGACGUCAAAUCAUCAUGCCCCUUAUGACCUGGGCUACACACGUGCUACAAUGGUUGGUACAACGAGUUGCGAGUCGGUGACGGCGAGCUAAUCUCUUAAAGCCAAUCUCAGUUCGGAUUGUAGGCUGCAACUCGCCUACAUGAAGUCGGAAUCGCUAGUAAUCGCGGAUCAGCACGCCGCGGUGAAUACCGGUUCCCGGGCCUU
RNAcentral lists this ribosomal RNA (206 nucleotides) under uncultured Streptococcus sp. Its description in RNAcentral is "partial 16S ribosomal RNA". It matches the Rfam family "Bacterial small subunit ribosomal RNA", at positions 1179 to 1382 of the family's 1533-position model. Lineage: Bacteria; Bacillati; Bacillota; Bacilli; Lactobacillales; Streptococcaceae. The record is from RNAcentral.